Molecule: long non-coding RNA, 509 nt
Organism: Crotalus tigris (Tiger rattlesnake)
Lineage: Eukaryota; Metazoa; Chordata; Lepidosauria; Squamata; Viperidae
Exons: 2
Source: RefSeq, a predicted model, not a curated record
UGCCUCUGCAGCGCGCUCGCUUUUAUUUUUGCACUCAGCCUGAGGAGCCCGCCGACUUUUUAAAUGCCCCCGCCUUCCGGAGAGGGGAGAGGCCGCUCAGCCAAUCCGAGGGAAGCGUUUUCGGAGCAGCCAAUCACGAGCGAGAUGGGUGUGCAGACAGGAGCCCGCGAGGGAGGGUGCUGGGCGGGAAAGGCGCGCGCUCUUUCCCGCGCAAACAGGUGCGAACGCUCGGCUGGUUUCCCAGCUCGCGCACCGGUUGCCAUGGAGACGGCCGCAGCGCGGGUAACGGCUCAUCACUGUCAGCUGUGCUUUUUAGGAUUGAGAGAUCAGAGGGCUACUUGGGCUUCCACUGGAUUACAAGUCCCAUCAGCCACCUCUGGGGCGCUGAUGGGGAACGUCCCUUCUUCCAACAGAACUUUUUCUUGUUGAGCAGGAAAAUGCUUAAAAUGCUGUUUAAAAAGUUCUGAAAAUUUAAUAAAUGCAAAAUAAAAUAAAGAUUAUAUGCAGAA